This 451-nucleotide ribosomal RNA is filed under the name uncultured bacterium. Its description in RNAcentral is "SSU rRNA". It matches the Rfam family "Bacterial small subunit ribosomal RNA", at positions 26 to 518 of the family's 1533-position model. The record is from RNAcentral.
AGAGCGAACGCUGGCGGCAGGCCUAACACAUGCAAGUCGAGCGGAUGUAGCAAUACAUCAGCGGCAGACGGGAGAGUAACACGUGGGAACGUGCCCUUUGGUUCGGAAUAACGCAGGGAAACUUGCGCUAAUACCGAAUAAGCCCUUACGGGGAAAGAUUUAUCGCCAUUGGAGCGGCCCGCGUCUGAUUAGCUAGUUGGUGAGGUAACGGCUCACCAAGGCGACGAUCAGUAGCUGGUCUGAGAGGAUGAUCAGCCUCACUGGGACUGAGACACGGCCCAGACUCCUACGGGAGGCAGCAGUGGGGAAUAUUGGACAAUGGGCGCAAGCCUGAUCCAGCCAUGCCGCGUGGAUGAUGAAGGCCUUAGGGUUGUAAACCCCUUUCAGCAGGGACGAAGCGAAAGUGACGGUACCUGCAGAAGAGCGCCGGCUAACUCGCGCCAGCAGCCGC